CCUACAGGAGGCAGCAGUGGGGAAUAUUGGACAAUGGGCGAAAGCCUGAUCCAGCCAUGCCGCGUGUGUGAAGAAGGCCUUCGGGUUGUAAAGCACUUUCAGUGGGGAAGAAAGCCUUGGGGCUAAUACCCUCGAGGAAGGACAUCACCCACAGAAGAAGCACCGGCUAACUCCGUGCCAGCAGCCGCGGUAAUACGGAGGGUGCGAGCGUUAAUCGGAAUUACUGGGCGUAAAGCGCGCGUAGGCGGUCUGAUAAGCCGGUUGUGAAAGCCCCGGGCUCAACCUGGGAACGGCAUCCGGAACUGUCAGGCUAGAGUGCAGGAGAGGAAGGUAGAAUUCCCGGUGUAGCGGUGAAAUGCGUAGAGAUCGGGAGGAAUACCAGUGGCGAAGGCGGCCUUCUGGACUGACACUGACGCUGAGGUGCGAAAGCGUGGGUAGCAAACAGGAUUAGAUACCCGGGUAGUC
Molecule: ribosomal RNA, 465 nt
Filed under: Vreelandella stevensii
Lineage: Bacteria; Pseudomonadati; Pseudomonadota; Gammaproteobacteria; Oceanospirillales; Halomonadaceae
Description: partial 16S ribosomal RNA
Rfam family: Bacterial small subunit ribosomal RNA
Source: RNAcentral